Molecule: ribosomal RNA, 253 nt
Filed under: uncultured bacterium
Lineage: Bacteria
Description: partial 16S ribosomal RNA
Rfam family: Bacterial small subunit ribosomal RNA
Source: RNAcentral
UACGAAGGGUGCAAGCGUUAGUCGGAAUCACUGGGCGUAAAGGGCGCGUAGGCGGCUCAUGAAGGCUGUGGUGAAAGUCCGGGGCUCAACCUCGGAUCGGCCGUGGCGACUCGUGGGCUGGAGCACUGUAGAGGCGGGUGGAAUUCCGGGUGUAGCGGUGGAAUGCGUAGAGAUCCGGAAGAACACCAGUGGCGAAGGCGGCCCGCUGGGCAGUGGCUGACGCUGAGGCGCGACAGCGUGGGGAGCAAACAGG